GAUGAUAACCACAACUUUCAACAACGGAUCUCUGGCUMUGGCAUCGAUGAAGAACGCAGCGAAAUGCGAUAAGUAAUGCGAAUUGCAGAAUUCCGUGAGUCAUCGAAUCUUUGAACGCACAUUGCGCCCUCCGGUACCCCGGAGGGCAUGCCUGUCCGAGCGUCAUU
This 167-nucleotide ribosomal RNA is filed under the name Dermatocarpon luridum. Its description in RNAcentral is "5.8S ribosomal RNA". It matches the Rfam family "5.8S ribosomal RNA". Rfam says of the family: 5.8S ribosomal RNA (5.8S rRNA) is a component of the large subunit of the eukaryotic ribosome. Lineage: Eukaryota; Fungi; Ascomycota; Eurotiomycetes; Verrucariales; Verrucariaceae. The record is from RNAcentral.